Molecule: non-coding RNA, 1033 nt
Organism: Chlorocebus sabaeus (green monkey)
Lineage: Eukaryota; Metazoa; Chordata; Mammalia; Primates; Cercopithecidae
Source: RefSeq, a predicted model, not a curated record
AAUUACAUAUGUAACUUGUAUUAUAUUUCUAUUGGAUAUGUCAGGUUGGACUAUAUGACUUCUUUACCUUUGUUUUCCUUAAAAUUCCUAGAUGUUAAAAAGUCUUUGGAGUUUUUAAUCUCAAAAUAUUUGCAUAACCUUCCCUAUACAUGUGUUUUUGCAACCACUGAUCUCACUGACCUCCAGGAUGAAGAAAUUUGUACAACACAAAAAAAUUAGAAGUAAAAUCUUUGUUUUACUUCUGAAUACUUCCUAAGAAACUCUCAGUUUACAGCUGAACACCAAGAGGAAUUUCAAGUAAAUAUUGAGAAGUUGUAAUGGUAUUUGUCACAGUGUAUGAAUUGUGUUUGAUGCUUUCUUCUUAAAUUGUCAGCAGAUUUUAAGAAUCAUAUUCAUUGAAAUUUGAGCAAAUUACCAGUAGAUGAUGGCCUUGCGACUUUUCCACAGGAUCUAGUUUGAAGGAUUAAGAAGGAUAAGACAUCAGUUUGAAAAGAACCCCAUCAGAACAACAUGAAUUCUGCUAAAAUUGAAGCAAGAACAAACAUCAAAUUUAUGGUGAAGCUUCAGUGGAAGAAUAGUAAAUCACUGAUGCUUAACAAAAAGUUUAUAGGACAAUAUCCCAGAGAAAUCAGUAGUUUACAAACAACUCAUUUUAAGAAGGGGUGAGAUAAUGUUGAAGAUGAAGUCUGCAGUGGCAAAACAUAUCCAUUUGUGAGGAAAAAAUUAAUCUUUUCUGUACCCUAAUUGAAAACAACUAAUAACUGCAGAAACAAUAGCCAAUACCACAGACAUCUCAAUUGGUUCUGUUUCCACUAUUCUGACUAAAAAAUUAAAAUUGAGCAAACUUUCCACUUAAUAGGUGUCAAAACCAUUGUGCCUAGAUAACCUGAAGACAAGAGCAGAGCUUUCAAUGGACAUUUUUAACAAGUGGAAUCAAGAUCUGGAAGUAUUUAUUUAAAGGACUGUAACAGAAGAUGAAGCAUGGCUUUACCAGGAUGAUCUUGAAGACAAAGCACAGUCAAAGCAAUGGCUA